CGUAGACUCUGAUCAAGAACCUGUUUCGCGUUUUGUUCCCGCAAAUAAUGAUGAAUUUUGCCAAAAUCCCAUGUUCAGCAUUACCUCAGUCCAGUUUCAAGACAUGACCUUAUUAAGUUAUUUAGCCAGUCCCCUCUGUCCAUUACCAAACCCAUUAACGUCAUGUCUAUGAGAAUAUGGCACGCAGUGGUGAGUGACGUAAGGUCGUAAAGCAAGAAGAGCCUGGGUGUGUCAGCAUUCAGAUUCAGUACAUCGCCAUUCUCGUAAACCCGUAACAUUGCUGACCAGCAGCAGUUCGCAGACUCUUAUACUUUGCCAUUUACCACAGUAUUACCGGUGAAGUUACAACAGGAACAUUGUUUAAAUAUGACAGAGUUCAAGAAGUAAUCACUGAAUCAUUACAAAUGGACUUCAUGUUUUUUUUAUUUUGAUCAUUUAUUAAGCAAAAGCAACAAUAAAUUACACAUUCAUUUACAACAUUGCUUUUGAUAAAUCUCAAUUAUUCUCAAAAUAUUUUACAAUGACACCGAAAAGAAAAUCCAUUGUCUAAAAAAAUCUUUUUUGUCCAUUGUAUUUUUAUUUUUUUCUUAUCGGUUUUGAUUUAUUCCCCCUUCUUUUCAACCACAUUACACCUUAAUAAUUACAUUCCCAUAACAGUGGCUGUGGCCACAACACAUCAAUUCAAUGGAUGUGUCAAGACCCCUUCUCUGCAUUGGGAUCUGAAACCAAUGCAAUCUUGUUGGACGAUGACGCAUUCAACAACAAAACACAGCCCUUCCUGACACAGUGAUGGUUUUGGUCGUCCAUGGCCUGCAGGCUUUUGCUAUUGGACCCAAGGAUCAAAAAACUAUGAACCCAGUCAACUGCAAUUUGCCAACUUCUAUUAAAAAAGUUAAUGGGAUUAUGCUGUCGAGCUGUGUUUAUGCUACUGGGUCCAAUUCUGUCCACAGUGAUGAGUUCUACUGAGUGGUAGGGAGGUAGUGGAAUAGUCAGUUGUGCCCAAUCCGGCCCUUGGUGGCGAGGGGGAAGCAAGUACAAACAAGCACCCAAUAGACACGGACGAUUACCAACAGCACCGGCACACCACAUGGGAUUCUGAAUUGCAAUUCAUUGACUCGUUUAUACACAGAAACUGGAAACAAAACUGUAAAAAUAUGUCUGUGCCAAAAAAGAAAAAUCUGGAAAACCAAACCCAUCACAGCAAUAUGACAACAUGUCGAAUUGAAUCAUGGCCCAACCAUGAGGUCACCCCUCAAAAUAAAGAAGGAAAAAAAAAAAAAAAAACAGAAACCAAAACGAACAAAAGUUCUCAUCUCUCCCACUUCCAUAACCCCUGUACAGUAUAUACACAAAAUGGGAUCCAGAGAAAAUAGGAAUACAGAAGACCAGGAAUCUUCAAAAUGAAGACUGUUAAUUUGAAGACCAUGUCUUGAAGUUUUGGUAAAAAUCCUGAUUGGUUUACAAAAAGGAACAUCUUCAAAAGGCUCUCUGUCUGGCUUGCUGAUAUGUGCAGGGAGUUUCUAUGUGUCCUCACACAAACUUUCCCUGAAGCCUUGUCUUUCUCCCAGCAGCCUCCAGGGCACAGAGAUUGAUGACCUACUUUGGCGCCUGAGCGCUCCUUCCCGUCUAGUGGCUGGCCUUGUCGCCAUUUAGCUCCCCGUAUUCAAUCAGAAGCGUGUAAAGGAAACAAUGUCAAGACAAGGGAGAAAAUGCAAUUAGGGUAUAAAGUCAACUUGUAUGACAGGCAGACUUCAAUACUGACACAAGUCAUUCAGUAGCUUCUAAACAAGGUGGAUCCACUAAAAGACGAGCUCCCUAUUAACAUUUCAGGCUAAAGAAAACAUACAUCUAGGCUAAGUGCACAGUCGCUUUUUUUUAUAUCAAGUGCUUACAUGGGCAGGGGGAUUCAGAAAUAAGGCAUAAAUUCAGCUAGUCUCCAAAAGAGAGAGCAAGAAAGAGAGAAAAAUAAAGAAAGACAGAGAGACAGAAAAUGAAGCCAAAAGGCAGAUGCAAACAGUUUGGUUUUCCAAGCGUGACGUUCGCCACGAGGGCGCUUACAUCCAUCUCUCCAGUGGCCAUAUUGUGGAUUGCAGGUUAAUCCGAUCAGCACUCCUGCAAUGGCAAACUUCCAUGCAAACAUUCCAAGAUAAGUGUCUGUCUGUGUGUAUGUGUCUGUGUGCGUCUGUCGCAGGUGCUGUGCUUUUGCUGGUGUUGACUGUUUAUCACAAGCACCACCGGGAAGUGUAAAGUGACCCUGAAAUCUGCAUCUACUGCAUUAAAUAUUGAGAGCUUGGCAUGUUUUUUUUUUUUUUUUUUUUUUAAACAUGCCCUACCCCCCAAACCUCAUCCCCCUUCCGAAAGAACACCUCUCAUUCCCACCGGCUUAGAACCAGUAGAAAAAGAUGUUGACCUGAAAAGGUAUUUUGGGUUCCCCCUCUCCCCCGAGCCUGUCUUUGCCAGGUGCUGUGACAACCUAACAGGCUUACUGCGAGUCUGUCAGAAGCGUGGCAAAGGGGAUUACCGCUGAAAUCGAGUGCCAGGCGGUGUGUGUAUGUGGAAGGGGUGGUUGACACAGUGAGAGGAGAUCAAAUUCACCUUGCCGGCGUCAAGUGUCAAAAACCGACGAUCCCUCAGCACUCAGAGGCUUGGUGCGAGUGGGUGUCAGUGUGAAAAGGCAGGUGUGUGUGUGUGUGUGUGUGUAAGAAUGCUAGGGCACGGGUGCUUUCUCGCCUUGUGUGGUCCUGCUUAAAAGGUGAAAAGCAUGUGAUGUCAAUGUGUGUCACCUGUCUCAGUCAACCAUCACUCUGUUGUGUGUGCGCGACCUCUAAAAAGAGCUUUUCAGUAAGGUGUAAUAGGAAGCCAUGGGUGCAGCCAGAUAGGAUAAAAAAAAAAAAAGUCAGGGAAGAAAAACAAAAUUAAGUUAAGCUGUCAAGUUCCUUAAGUGCAAGCCACUCUGCAUUCAGAACACACACACACACACACACACACACACACACACACACACACACACACACACACACACACACACACACACACACACACACAC
Long non-coding RNA from Clupea harengus (Atlantic herring), 3046 nucleotides. The record is from Ensembl. NCBI's taxonomy places the organism in Eukaryota, Metazoa, Chordata, Actinopteri, Clupeiformes, Clupeidae.